Molecule: long non-coding RNA, 3425 nt
Organism: Raphanus sativus (radish)
Lineage: Eukaryota; Viridiplantae; Streptophyta; Magnoliopsida; Brassicales; Brassicaceae
Exons: 6
Source: RefSeq, a predicted model, not a curated record
UUAGUACAAAAUAAUUUUAAACGUUGAUACUCCCUCUGUUCCUAAAUAUAGGAUUUUCUACACUUUUCACGUUUAUUAAGACUAUAAUAAUUAUUUGCACUUUAUUUAAUUAUUUAUAUCAUUUACACACUUUCCAAUAACUGUCUACCAAUAAAAUUUAAUCAGUACAACUUUUAAUAAAAAAAGAACCUCAAAAGUAUACAAAACUACCUUAAAAAUAUAGAAAAUCUUAUAUUGUGGAACAAAGAAAAACUCCAAAAAAUCCUAUAUUUAGGAACGGAGGGAGUAUAUGUGUAAUAUUAAAAGUGCAUUAUAAUAAUUAAUUAAAGUAUGAAACAAUUGGAUAUAUUAUUUUUAUAAACAGAAAUCCAAGAGAAGUUCUGUUGUUAGUUAAUACAGUUUCUCAUUGUUAACCAUCUUAUAAAAAGUGUAAAAUUAUUUGUUCGCAAUAUUCAUGUGGUAUUCGAGAUUUAAAUACAUAUACUCUCUUCUUAUAGUAUGACAUUUCUAGACAACAUUGUACAAAAUGUUGUUCCUUCCAUUUUAGUUAUUCGGUUUCAGUUUGGGUUGGAUUCUGGAUUAUUCUAAUUUUCAGUUUUAUGUAUUUGUAGAAACUGUACGGUCGCCAAAUGGUUCGUUUAACAUAAUAUUAGUUCUAUACUUCUAUCUCUCUAAGUAGUCUGGUAGAUUACUCAGCAGCAAUUGUUUAUGUAAAAUAUCUUGGACUCGAAUCCUAUGCAAAUGUGUUGAGAUUCGAGAUACAUUACUUAAACUCUCCGUCUUAAGAACACAAUACUUUAUUGAAAAAUAUGUAUGGUCGAAAUCGAUUAAUAUUAAACUGGAAGCACACACAAAAAUAUAAACGAGAAUAUAAGCAUUAGGAGUAUGCAUAUAAUAGAUCCCUCCACAUACAAUCAUGUUAGGUUCGUAUGAUAGUUUAAUUGGAUGGUUAUCCAAAGUAGAGUAGCCAAUAAUUCUGGGAACUGAGAUGUGUGAUUUGAUUGGUUUUAUUUCUCUUUAUUAUUAUGAGAUUAGUUAUAUGAUAAAAUGGUUGUGUGGGUUCCACGAUCAGGCUAAAACAGCAUCUGUUGUUUUUACCUUAUUUCAAGACUCAUAUGGUCCUUCUCCUCCCAACCAAUCAGACUGCAUGAAGUGUCCUCCAUUUCAAAGUCGAAAAGCUGUCCUGUCAGAGCACAUUUGGAAAUAUAUAAGUAUAAAACAGCUAUCCUUAUCUACGUAUCUAUCAAAUAUACAUGUGUCCUGUUUAUCGUAGUGUAAAGUAAUAAGCCAAUAAGGCGUGUUUUUAUUUUUGUUUCGUGGUUGGACAUUUGAUUUUUUUUUUUUGUGCAAAGGUUGGACAUUUGAUAUUAAUCCAAAUCAAGAUGACCGUUGUCCAUUACAAGUAAAUAACUGGCGUAUAUAUAAUUACGAGAAGAUAGAAUAUAUAGAAAAGAAAAAAUCUAUUAUUAUAAAGAAAAUGUGUCUCUCUUCUCCUUCACCCACCUCAUAAAAUAGUUUAAGGUGGUAGCGACACGUGUCCGAGAAAAUUUGUUUUUUCACUUUCGUUUGUUAUUUUACGGGCUUUAACAUUUCCUUAAUAUAUGGGCUACAAAUCAUAUUAGUUGGGUUUCUGAAAAGACACAGAAGGUCUCCGCCUUCUUCGUUUGUGUCGUCUAUUGUUCUACGUUACGGAAGACAGAUGAAUCCAAUUGUCGCUUUUAACACACUCAUUAAAAAAAUCUCCCACUACUCACACGAUUUGUGAUUCAAUGCAUCCCUUAUUACUUCCAUUUUGUAAUUCUUCCACUAUAAAUUGGCGAGCCCGUGUACCUCAACCAUCCAGCUUCGCCUGCUUAGGUUUGGAAGCAAAAGAUGUGAAACGCGGCGGCGAGCUUAUGGGGUAGACAUGUUCACUGUCAAGGCAGAGAUAAUUUCGAUACGAGCAGUGGUCUCUACGACCUUCACCUCUCGAGAAUCAUCACCAUCAUCAUCAGCUCAUAAAAGCGAAGGAGAGAUACUUACCAAAUCGAACGUUAAGAACUUUAGAUUUCGCAAACUUUGCGGAGUUGCAUCAUGUUCGUUGCUUUUAUAGUUCUUUCUUUUGUUUCCUGCUACUCAUUACUGGAGCAUGAUAUCACAUUAUCUUGCAGGAUUUGAGAAAGUUUAUGUUUUUUUGUGUGUUUGGAACUACCAGACACAGGUGGGUGUAUAAUUUUGUUUUUUUUUAAAUCUGGAUUCAGAUGUACAUAUGUUCCUUCCAAUGAAAAAAUUGUGAUAAGUAAUAACCGAAAUUGCAACUAAAAUAUUAUUAUCUUUAUGUAUUCUAUGAGGCUUAGCAGUCUUUUCAUAGAUUUGUAGGCUGCUUUUAUGGCGCAUAGAUCUUAUUCUAAUCUGAAUCUUGCUUGACAAUCCUCAGGUGACCGAAAGUCUUUCUAGGCGACCAAAUUACCAUGUAAACAUUUUUUUUCUUCUGCGUUAGUUAAAAUGUUUUACUCUUAGUUAUAAUUUUUUGUUGGAUGAGUAUUUUUUAUUCAUAUCACAUGCCAAAUAGAGUGAAGAGGCAGAAGUAAUGGCCACAUUUUCAAAUUUGUAGAAUUAUGAUAAGUAGUAAUGAUAAGAGAUUUUAUUUGAUAAGAAGUUAAUUCAUUUUCUGUGAAAUGGCUAUAGCUCAUCAAUCCUUGUUUAUUUGAAUUCCGACCGCUCCUCCUCAACGGUGGAAGUGUGAUUGCCACUGAUGAAGUUUCAGUUGAAGAGGAAACAUCGAUGCUUUUGUCAAUAGGUUCGAUAUCAGAGCAGCAGCCACAAGUGAAAAGAGAGAUUUGUGUGACGUUAAUCAAGAUGCUUCUACUAGAGCUUGAAAAACCAUCUAAUCUGAAGUAUUACGAACCUUAGCAAGAAUGUGAAACAAUUGCUGUCUCGGGUUUAGUUGACUACCAGAACAAGUAAGAGCAUGACUGCUGCCAUUCAUGUGAGGAUGUUUGUGACACAUUUAGAAACAAAGGUUGGGAUGUUACAAAUCCAGAUUUGAUUGACAAGGUGAGUUGCUGAUAAAACACGGCUGUAGGGUCAUUGGAAAAAAAGAGCGGGAGGGAAGAUAGCGACAUCGCAGCUGGUGGACGUGGAGAAGUGCAAUUACCUUACUGUUGAUUUCUUAAGCUUCACGAGCUCUGGGAAUGUCCACUGUUUUUUUCGGUUGUGGUCGGUGGUUCAGACAUGGAAGAGACUUAUGGUUAUUUAAUUUUUGUGAGAGGAUUCUGUCUCCAAGUGGGAUGGCAUCAUGCCUAUCGCUCAUUACAGCUACACAGUUUGUUCUGCUGUGUCUAUUUUUGUAUAUGUUUUUGACCAUUACCUUAUGCAUACGCUCCAACAUAUCAACAAUAUUUUUUUAGUUGUGAUCCGGUUGACAAAAAAAAGAGUUAUGUAGA